RNAcentral lists this long non-coding RNA (1426 nucleotides) under Volvox carteri. RNAcentral describes it as "long non-coding RNA (VCAR_LNC002073)". The record is from RNAcentral. Lineage: Eukaryota; Viridiplantae; Chlorophyta; Chlorophyceae; Chlamydomonadales; Volvocaceae.
CAAAAUCCAUACCUUUGAAACCCUGUCUUUAAACCCAGAAAUUUGAGUAUGUUACAGCACGAUAGCAAUGACCAUGUUAUCUCCCCAUUCUUUGAAGCCGGCACAAAAAUACAAGAAUUACACGCGACACUGACACUGCAGGGGCGACGUUAGGAACUGGAAGCUUAGGGCUUGUACCUGCAACACCCGCUCUGCCGCUGAUGGCGCGGGAUGGCAAGGCUCGCCCCGCAAAAACGGCAGAAAGACAAGUACAAGACGUUAUACCUCUAGCUACAUCGAGAAUUUAGAUAGCCAGUUAUGUUUUAGCUUGCCAUGCAAUACUCGUCGUCAAAAGCAACGAAUUUUUGCAUUUUGUCCAGCCAAAGCGCCUUACGGACCCGGGACAGGCCGAGUUGUGAGAUUAGUGUUCGUGGGCGCUGGCUUCACAGGUGCCUCUUGGUAGUGCGCCAAGGUGCACGCUAGGCUAAUGACCUCACCAUGAUGAGAUUGCAUUGCAGUCGCGAAUACCUGGAAAUUUCGUUUCGUGUCAUGCAGUAGACUUGGUGGGAAGCAGAAAUCCCUCGACGCCGCAGCAUCAGCCCUCGCAAAGAUAGAGAAGUUCCACCUGCAAGUAGGUCGAACGUAGCGCUGGUCUUGACGCCUCAAUCUGCUGGUGUGGCAUCUGUUCCCGGGUGCGCGAUAGGUUCUUUCGCUCCGCUACCGUACUGUACAACGCUCCACACGAAGCAUACGGUAUACCCAACCUGGUUACAACUUCCAAUUCGCGCAGGACACCCUGGCCGUACUCAUAGUGAUGUCAGAGCGGUCGCCAACAAUGGUGGAAACGCAGGUGGGACUUUGGCUGCACCUGACCAGCUUACGAGGUGUAAGUGUCGCAGAUUGCGACCGCCGCAUCUCAGCAAGAUUGGCAGGAGCAGCAGCAACAACAAUGUCGGCAGCAGCGGCGAGAAAAAACUAUACUGCCCGUGACCCAUAUGGCCGCAGUGCUAACUGCUAACGGCCUCUAGGCAGACGCCGAUUCGGGUGGUGCCAGCAGUGCCAUGGUGUGCCGUGUUUGGCUGUCACCUGACGAGGUUUUCUGCAACCUGGUGCUAGAGCAUGUCUGUGAGCGGCGGCUUUUCAACGAUUACGGAAGUGCCCCGAACGCACGAACGCGUUGUCGGGGCGGCUUGUUCUAUUUCCUAUGGAUGAGCUGCACGGGUUUCAGGGUUCGUAGAAUGAGAGCAAUCUGAACUCUACAAACAGCCGUGUAAGCAUCGCCACGUUCCUAGCCGCGAGGACAGAUUUUCCAUUAGUCGCGUCAAAGUAUCGUACAGCUGCUCCAAAUGUUUCAAAUCCUCUGUGGCUAACUGCGUGCCAACUGCGUCUGUGGCCAACAGACUUACUGCUACUUCUGUGUUCCUGUCUCCCGAAAACUGUAAUUUUG